RNAcentral lists this transfer-messenger RNA (365 nucleotides) under Lacticaseibacillus manihotivorans. RNAcentral describes it as "Standard tmRNA". It matches the Rfam family "transfer-messenger RNA". Rfam says of the family: Bacterial tmRNA, also known as 10Sa RNA or SsrA, is named for its dual tRNA and mRNA-like properties. Its role is to liberate the mRNA from a stalled ribosome. The record is from RNAcentral. Lineage: Bacteria; Bacillati; Bacillota; Bacilli; Lactobacillales; Lactobacillaceae. RNAcentral also lists the same sequence under 1 other name.
GGGGGUGUAAUGGUCUCGACAUUGGUGGCUCGCGCAUGUGGUGCACGUCGGAGGGUCGGCUCCGUCAAGAACGCAUACAGUUUAUUAACUGCAAAAAACAACAAUUCUUACGCUUUAGCUGCCUAAUAACAGCUUAGCGUGAUCGCCGUAGCUUCGCUCAAGGGUUACUCAGCGGUCUCAAACUAAUUGAGCUACGACGUGUCCUGCCACCUGAGGGUCACGGAAGAGAUAGUAGGUUAGUUCAAUUGCGUUAGCCUUGAUUCACGGCACGGCAGUUGGGCGAAUUUCAAAUAGUGGAACUAAACGUGUAGAGCCAUGUGUAGUGGGGCUGAUGGACAGGAGUUCGAUUCUCCUCACCUCCAUUU